AGGUAAGCUACUAAGAGCGAAUGGUGGAUGCCUUGACUGGUAAAGGCGAUGAAGGACGUACUAGACUGCGAUAAGCUACGGGGAGCUGUCAAGAAGCUUUGAUCCGUAGAUUUCCGAAUGGGGCAACCCAAUGUAUAGAGAUAUACAUUACCUAUAUAGGAGCGAACGAGGGGAAUUGAAACAUCUUAGUACCCUCAGGAAAAGAAAUCAAUAGAGAUUGCGUCAGUAGCGGCGAGCGAAAGCGCAAGAGGGCAAACCCAGUGCUUGCACUGGGGGUUGUAGGACUGCAAUGUGCAAGAGCUGAGUUUAGCAGAACAUUCUGGAAAGUAUAGCCAUAGAGGGUGAUAGUCCCGUAUGCGAAAAACAAAGCUUAGCUAGCAGUAUCCUGAGUAGGGCGGGACACGAGGAAUCCUGUCUGAAUCCGGGUCGACCACGAUCCAACCCUAAAUACUAAUACCAGAUCGAUAGUGCACAAGUACCGUGAGGGAAAGGUGAAAAGAACUGAGGUGAUCAGAGUGAAAUAGAACCUGAAACCAUUUGCUUACAAUCAUUCAGAGCACUAUGUAGCAAUACAGUGUGAUGGACUGCCUUUUGCAUAAUGAGCCUGCGAGUUGUGGUGUCUGGCAAGGUUAAGCAAACGCGAAGCCGUAGCGAAAGCGAGUCUGAAUAGGGCGCUUAGUCAGAUGCUGCAGACCCGAAACGAAGUGAUCUAUCCAUGAGCAAGUUGAAGCUAGUGUAAGAACUAGUGGAGGACUGAACCCAUAGGCGUUGAAAAGCCCCGGGAUGACUUGUGGAUAGGGGUGAAAGGCCAAUCAAACUUCGUGAUAGCUGGUUCUCUCCGAAAUAUAUUUAGGUAUAGCGUUGUGUCGUAAUAUAAGGGGGUAGAGCACUGAAUGGGCUAGGGCAUACACCAAUGUACCAAACCCUAUCAAACUCCGAAUACCUUAUAUGUAAUCACAGCAGUCAGGCGGCGAGUGAUAAAAUCCGUCGUCAAGAGGGAAACAACCCAGACUACCAGCUAAGGUCCCUAAAUCUUACUUAAGUGGAAAACGAUGUGAAGUUACUUAAACAACCAGGAGGUUGGCUUAGAAGCAGCCAUCCUUUAAAGAAAGCGUAAUAGCUCACUGGUCUAGUGAUUUUGCGCGGAAAAUAUAACGGGGCUAAAGUAAGUACCGAAGCUGUAGACUUGCACACAACUUAGAUUAUUUAAGUUUAGAAUAUGAGAAACUAAGUUAUAUGUUUAGUUAUAUUUUUACUGAUUUUUAUAGAGUAAAGAUAGAAAUAAAACUUAGUAAAAUCAGUAAAAAUAUUCUUAGGCUAAAGUUAAGUAGUUUAAGUUGUGUGCAAGUGGUAGGAGAGCGUUCUAUUUGCGUCGAAGGUAUACCGGUAAGGAGUGCUGGAGCGAAUAGAAGUGAGCAUGCAGGCAUGAGUAGCGAUAAUUAAUGUGAGAAUCAUUAACGCCGUAAACCCAAGGUUUCCUACGCGAUGCUCGUCAUCGUAGGGUUAGUCGGGUCCUAAGUCGAGUCCGAAAGGGGUAGACGAUGGCAAAUUGGUUAAUAUUCCAAUACCAACAUUAGUGUGCGAUGGAAGGACGCUUAGGGCUAAGGGGGCUAGCGGAUGGAAGUGCUAGUCUAAGGUUGUAGGAGGUUAUACAGGCAAAUCCGUAUAACAAUACUCCGAGAACUGAAAGGCUUUUUGAAGUCUUCGGAUGGAUAGAAGAACCCCUGAUGCCGUCGAGCCAAGAAAAGUUUCUAAGUUUAGCUAAUGUUGCCCGUACCGUAAACCGACACAGGUGGGUGGGAUGAGUAUUCUAAGGCGCGUGGAAGAACUCUCUUUAAGGAACUCUGCAAAAUAGCACCGUAUCUUCGGUAUAAGGUGUGCCUCCCUUUGUAUUAGAAUUCACUUCGAAAGCAAAGAAGGUUACAACAAAGAGUCCCUCCCGACUGUUUACCAAAAACACAGCACUCUGCUAACUCGUAAGAGGAUGUAUAGGGUGUGACGCCUGCCCGGUGCUCGAAGGUUAAUUGAUGGGGUUAGCAUUAGCGAAGCUCUUGAUCGAAGCCCGAGUAAACGGCGGCCGUAACUAUAACGGUCCUAAGGUAGCGAAAUUCCUUGUCGGUUAAAUACCGACCUGCAUGAAUGGCGUAACGAGAUGGGAGCUGUCUCAAAGAGGGAUCCAGUGAAAUUGUAGUGGAGGUGAAAAUUCCUCCUACCCGCGGCAAGACGGAAAGACCCCGUGGACCUUUACUACAGCUUGACACUGCUAUUUGGAUAAGAAUGUGCAGGAUAGGUGGGAGGCUUUGAGUAUAUGACGCCAGUUGUAUAUGAGCCAUUGUUGAGAUACCACUCUUUCUUAUUUGGGUAGCUAACCAGCUUGAGUUAUCCUCAAGUGGGACAAUGUCUGGUGGGUAGUUUGACUGGGGCGGUCGCCUCCCAAAUAAUAACGGAGGCUUACAAAGGUUGGCUCAGAACGGUUGGAAAUCGUUCGUAGAGUAUAAAGGUAUAAGCCAGCUUAACUGCAAGACAUACAAGUCAAGCAGAGACGAAAGUCGGUCUUAGUGAUCCGGUGGUUCUGUGUGGAAGGGCCAUCGCUCAAAGGAUAAAAGGUACCCCGGGGAUAACAGGCUGAUCUCCCCCAAGAGCUCACAUCGACGGGGAGGUUUGGCACCUCGAUGUCGGCUCAUCGCAUCCUGGGGCUGGAGCAGGUCCCAAGGGUAUGGCUGUUCGCCAUUUAAAGCGGUACGCGAGCUGGGUUCAGAACGUCGUGAGACAGUUCGGUCCCUAUCUGCCGUGGGCGUAAGAAGAUUGAAGAGAUUUGACCCUAGUACGAGAGGACCGGGUUGAACAAACCACUGGUGUAGCUGUUGUUCUGCCAAGAGCAUCGCAGCGUAGCUAAGUUUGGAAAGGAUAAACGCUGAAAGCAUCUAAGCGUGAAGCCAACUCUAAGAUGAAUCUUCUCUAAGCUCUCUAGAAGACUACUAGUUUGAUAGGCUGGGUGUGUAAUGGAUGAAAGUCCUUUAGCUGACCAGUACUAAUAGAGCGUUUGGCUUAUCUUU
This 3056-nucleotide ribosomal RNA is filed under the name Campylobacter jejuni. RNAcentral's name for it is "23S ribosomal RNA". It matches the Rfam family "Bacterial large subunit ribosomal RNA". Lineage: Bacteria; Pseudomonadati; Campylobacterota; Epsilonproteobacteria; Campylobacterales; Campylobacteraceae. The record is from RNAcentral.